GACGAACGCUGGCGGCGUGCCUAAUACAUGCAAGUUGAGCGCUGAAGGUUGGUACUUGUACCCACUGGAUGAGCAGCGAACGGGUGAGUAACGCGUGGGUAAUCUGCCUUUGAGCGGGGGACAACAUUUGGAAACGAAUGCUAAUACCGCAUAAAAACUUUAAACACAAGUUUUAAGUUUGAAAGAUGCAAUUGCAUCACUCAAAGAUGAUCCCGCGUUGUAUUAGCUAGUUGGUGAGGUAAAGGCUCACCAAGGCGAUGAUACAUAGCCGACCUGAGAGGGUGAUCGGCCACAUUGGGACUGAGACACGGCCCAAACUCCUACGGGAGGCAGCAGUAGGGAAUCUUCGGCAAUGGACGAAAGUCUGACCGAGCAACGCCGCGUGAGUGAAGAAGGUUCUCGGAUCGUAAAACUCUGUUGGUAGAGAAGAACGUUGGUGAGAGUGGAAAGCUCAUCAAGUGACGGUAACUACCCAGAAAGGGACGGCUAACUACGUG
Molecule: ribosomal RNA, 497 nt
Filed under: uncultured bacterium
Lineage: Bacteria
Description: partial 16S ribosomal RNA
Rfam family: Bacterial small subunit ribosomal RNA
Source: RNAcentral